Molecule: ribosomal RNA, 108 nt
Filed under: Rhodophyllus crassipes
Lineage: Eukaryota; Fungi; Basidiomycota; Agaricomycetes; Agaricales; Entolomataceae
Description: partial 5.8S ribosomal RNA
Rfam family: 5.8S ribosomal RNA
About the family: 5.8S ribosomal RNA (5.8S rRNA) is a component of the large subunit of the eukaryotic ribosome. It is transcribed by RNA polymerase I as part of the 45S precursor that also contains 18S and 28S rRNA.
Source: RNAcentral
UACAACUUUCAACAACGGAUCUCUUGGCUCUCGCAUCGAUGAAGAACGCAGCGAAAUGCGAUAAGUAAUGUGAAUUGCAGAAUUCAGUGAAUCAUCGAUCUUGACGCA